UAGGGAAUCUUCCACAAUGGACGAAAGUCUGAUGGAGCAAUGCCGCGUGAGUGAAGAAGGUUUUCGGAUCGUAAAACUCUGUUGUGAGGGAAGAACAAGUACAGGAGUAACUGCCUGUACCUUGACGGUACCUCAUUAGAAAGCCACGGCUAACUACGUGCCAGCAGCCGCGGUAAUACGUAGGUGGCAAGCGUUGUCCGGAAUUAUUGGGCGUAAAGCGCGCGCAGGCGGCCUUUUAAGUCUGAUGUGAAAGCCCACGGCUCAGCCGUGGAAGGUCAUUGGAAACUGAGAGGCUUGAGUACAGAAGAGGAAAGCGGAAUUCCACGUGUAGCGGUGAAAUGCGUAGAGAUGUGGAGGAACACCAGUGGCGAAGGCGGCUUUCUGGUCUGUAACUGACGCUGAGGCGCGAAAGCGUGGGGAGCAAACAG
Molecule: ribosomal RNA, 428 nt
Filed under: uncultured bacterium
Lineage: Bacteria
Description: bacterial SSU rRNA
Rfam family: Bacterial small subunit ribosomal RNA
Source: RNAcentral